UACGUAGGGGGCAAGCGUUGUCCGGAAUCAUUGGGCGUAAAGCGCGCGUAGGCGGUUUGCAAAGUCUGGUGUGAAAUCUUGGGGCUCAACCCCAAGCUGUCACUGGAUACUGGCAGACUCGAGUCCGGAAGAGGAGUGUGGAAUUCCUGGUGUAGCGGUGGAAUGCGCAGAUAUCAGGAGGAACACCAAUGGCGAAGGCAGCACUCUGGUACGUGACUGACGCUGAGGCGCGAAAGCUAGGGGAGCAAACAGG
This 253-nucleotide ribosomal RNA is filed under the name uncultured bacterium. RNAcentral's name for it is "partial 16S ribosomal RNA". It matches the Rfam family "Bacterial small subunit ribosomal RNA", at positions 524 to 776 of the family's 1533-position model. The record is from RNAcentral.